ACAGGAUUUCAGGACAAAGUUCAACAAGUAACUGCACUGACAUGAUUUGAAUGGGAAAUCCGAAUUAGAGGGAUUCAAAUUUGAUGGUUCAAAGGAAAUUUGGAUUCACAUGUGGGCUGCAACUUUUAAAAUCUUAGACUCCAAGAAGAAAAGAAAUUUAAAAAGCAAUUGUUUUCCCAUUUUAUAAAGGGAAACAGCCCUCUGAUGACAGGA
Molecule: long non-coding RNA, 213 nt
Organism: Homo sapiens (human)
Lineage: Eukaryota; Metazoa; Chordata; Mammalia; Primates; Hominidae
Source: Ensembl